Molecule: non-coding RNA, 116 nt
Filed under: Strombidinopsis acuminata
Lineage: Eukaryota; Ciliophora; Spirotrichea; Choreotrichida; Strombidinopsidae
Source: RNAcentral
ACACCGGCGCCUGGAAAGAAAACAAACCUCAUGAUGAGAAGGGCGAAGGUGAAUAUAUAUUUGCUGCAAGCAAAUAGACAAUCACAGGCAAAUGGAUUGAUGGAAAGUUUGAAUCU